This 253-nucleotide ribosomal RNA is filed under the name uncultured bacterium. Its description in RNAcentral is "partial 16S ribosomal RNA". It matches the Rfam family "Bacterial small subunit ribosomal RNA", at positions 524 to 776 of the family's 1533-position model. The record is from RNAcentral.
UACGUAGGGACCAAGCGUUGUUCGGAUUUACUGGGCGUAAAGGGCGCGUAGGCGGCAAUUCAAGUCAGCUGUGAAAUCUCCGAGCUUAACUCGGAACGGUCAUCUGAUACUGUUUUGCUAGAGUGCAGAAAGGGCAACCGGAAUUCUUGGUGUAGCGGUGAAAUGCGUAGAUAUCAAGAGGAACACCUGAGGCGAAGGCGGGUUGCUAGGCUGACACUGACGCUGAGGCGCGAAAGCUAGGGUAGCAAACGGG